CUAUACAUGACUCUGCGCAUAUCAAUAAGCGGAGGAAAAGAAACUAACAAGGAUUCCCCUAGUAACGGCGAGUGAAGCGGGAAGAGCUCAAAUUUGAAAUCUUCAAGGUUUUACCUUGACGAAUUGUAGUUUAAAGAAGUGUUUUCUGCUGAAGUUUUGGUAAAAGUUCUUUGGAAUAGGACAUCAUAGAGGGUGAGAAUCCCGUAUUUGACCAUUAUUUUCAGCUUUGUGAUACACUUUCAAAGAGUCGGAUUGUUUGGGAAUGCAGUCCAAAAUGGGUGGUAAAUUUCAUCUAAAGCUAAAUAUUGGCGAGAGACCGAUAGCGAACAAGCACCGUGAGGGAAAGAUGAAAAGAACUUUGAAAAGAGAGUUAAACAGUACGUGAAAUUGUCAAAAGGGAAGCGUUUGACACCAGUGUUGUUUUUCUGAAAAUCAAUUAAAGAACUGUUUAUGCUAAGUUGUUUAGACUUUAUCAGCUAACUGUUUAGUUUUGAGCUUUUCUUUAAUGCACUUUUCAGUUAACAAGUCAACAUCAAUUUCUUUUGCUGUAAAAAAGCUUGAGGAAGGUGGCUUGAGAUUCGUCUUAAGUGUUUAUAGCCUCUUGCCUAUGCAGUCGGAGAGAUUGAGGUCUGCAGCGUAGAUCCUUCGGGGCUAAAUGCAUUUGUGCUAAGUUAUAGCAUUUUAUAGACAACUUGUUGACUAUGAUUUGUCUUGUAGCUUACUCGCUUAUGUUAUUUUACCUACGCUUAGGAUGUUGACAGCAGUAUAGACUGU
Molecule: ribosomal RNA, 774 nt
Filed under: uncultured Neocallimastigales
Lineage: Eukaryota; Fungi; Neocallimastigomycota; Neocallimastigomycetes; Neocallimastigales
Description: partial large subunit ribosomal RNA
Rfam family: Eukaryotic large subunit ribosomal RNA
Source: RNAcentral